CCGGCGACCGGCGCACGGGUGAGUAACACGUAUGCAACCUGGCCGUGACAGAUGGAUAACCGGGAGAAAUCCCGCCUAAUACAACAUAAUGCCGGGAGGGGACAUCCCCUGCCGGUCAAAGGGGGCGACCCCGGUCAUGGAUGGGCAUGCGGCGCAUUAGGUAGUUGGUGGGGCAACGGCCCACCAAGCCGACGAUGCGUAGGGGUUCUGAGAGGAAGGUCCCCCACAUUGGAACUGAGACGCGGUCCAAACUCCUACGGAAGGCAGCAG
Molecule: ribosomal RNA, 270 nt
Filed under: uncultured bacterium
Lineage: Bacteria
Description: partial 16S ribosomal RNA
Rfam family: Bacterial small subunit ribosomal RNA
Source: RNAcentral